Long non-coding RNA from Oncorhynchus kisutch (coho salmon), 787 nucleotides. RefSeq lists it as uncharacterized. The transcript has 4 exons. The record is from RefSeq and is a predicted model, not a curated record. Lineage: Eukaryota; Metazoa; Chordata; Actinopteri; Salmoniformes; Salmonidae.
CAGCGAGCCAAUAGGAAUGGGACGAGCAGGCAGGGAGCCUCUGAUAGGCCGCUGAAGAACUGAGCCAGGAAGACAUCCACCCCGAACCGCCCGACAUUCAUACAGAUACCGUAGCUGAAGCUGCAGAUAUUGAUACAGCAGCAGGAGACCCCGGCCAAACAGCGCAGGUGCUUGAGGCGUCACUACAGACCCAGCUUCGAUCCCAGGCCGUGUCACAGCCGGACGUGACCGUGAGACCCAUAAGGUGGUGCACAAUUGGCGCAGAGUCGUUUGACCUGCCGGCAUUUCCUUGUCCCAUCAUGCUCUAGCGACUCCUUGUGGCGGUCUGGACACCUUCAAGCUGACUCCGGUCGCCAGCUGGACGGUGUUUCUUCCGGCUGGCUUCCCGGGUAUCAACCAUCCAGUUUCCCAUCAGCCAUAGAGGUUAGUUUUGUGGACGUCGGUCACCAGCGUGACUGCAGCCAAAAGGGGUGUGGCAUAGACCCUCACCAAGCUCUGUAACCCGGCAACCAAACAUCACCAGCCGAACCUCAGAGCAUUCCCCAAGUUCAACAGGACCAAUGGAGCGCACACAAGAAAACGAUUUAAGCAACAGGGAUCCUGAUCCCAUCCUUAAUCCCUACCACCCCUCCUUAACCACUACCACCCCACCUUAACCCCUACCACCCCUCCUUAAUCCCUACCACCCCUCGUUAACCAGUCCCAUUCCUCCUUAACCCCUACCUACCAACCAACCUUAACCCCUACUACCCCUCUGUAUACCCUACCACCCCUCCUUAACCCCUAC